RNAcentral lists this ribosomal RNA (169 nucleotides) under Alcanivorax sp. HI0011. RNAcentral describes it as "partial 16S ribosomal RNA". It matches the Rfam family "Bacterial small subunit ribosomal RNA", at positions 1 to 164 of the family's 1533-position model. The record is from RNAcentral. Lineage: Bacteria; Pseudomonadati; Pseudomonadota; Gammaproteobacteria; Oceanospirillales; Alcanivoracaceae.
UUAACUGAAGAGUUUGAUCAUGGCUCAGAUUGAACGCUGGCGGCAGGCCUAACACAUGCAAGUCGAGCGGAAACGAUGGUAGCUUGCUACCAGGCGUCGAGCGGCGGACGGGUGAGUAACGCGUGAGAAUCUGCCCAUUUGUGGGGGAUAACUCGGGGAAACUCGAGCU